Molecule: small nuclear RNA, 104 nt
Organism: Rhinolophus ferrumequinum (greater horseshoe bat)
Lineage: Eukaryota; Metazoa; Chordata; Mammalia; Chiroptera; Rhinolophidae
Source: Ensembl
UUGUGUUGAGCAGCUUCUAUACUAAAAUUGGAAUGACACAGAGAAGAUCAACGUGGCCCCUUGGCAAGGAUGACAUGCAAAUUCUUGAACUGUUCCAUAUUUUU